This 117-nucleotide ribosomal RNA is filed under the name Oscillospiraceae bacterium. The record is from RNAcentral. Lineage: Bacteria; Bacillati; Bacillota; Clostridia; Eubacteriales; Oscillospiraceae.
AUUGGUGUCAAUGACGGUGAGGGUCCACCCGUUCCCAUUCCGAACACGGAAGUUAAGCUCACCAGUGCCGAAGAUACUUGCCUGGCAACGGGCCGGAAAAAUAGGUCGAUGCCAAUA